GAAUGCUGACAUAAGUAACGAUAAAGCGGGUGAAAAGCCCGCUCGCCGGAAGACCAAGGGUUCCUGUCCAACGUUAAUCGGGGCAGGGUGAGUCGACCCCUAAGGCGAGGCCGAAAGGCGUAGUCGAUGGGAAACAGGUUAAUAUUCCUGUACUUGGUGUUACUGCGAAGGGGGGACGGAGAAGGCUAUGUUGGCCGGGCGACGGUUGUCCCGGUUUAAGCGUGUAGGCUGGUUUUCCAGGCAAAUCCGGAAAACCAAGGCUGAGGCGUGAUGACGAGGCACUACGGUGCUGAAGCGACAAAUGCCCUGCUUCCAGGAAAAGCCUCUAAGCAUCAGGUAACAUCAAAUCGUACCCCAAACCGACACAGGUGGUCAGGUAGAGAAUACCAAGGCGCUUGAGAGAACUCGGGUGAAGGAACUAGGCAAAAUGGUGCCGUAACUUCGGGAGAAGGCACGCUGAUAUGUAGGUGAAGCGACUAGCUCGUGGAGCUGAAAUCAGUCGAAGAUACCAGCUGGCUGCAACUGUUUAUUAAAAACACAGCACUGUGCAAACACGAAAGUGGACGUAUACGGUGUGACGCCUGCCCGGUGCCGGAAG
RNAcentral lists this ribosomal RNA (598 nucleotides) under Escherichia coli. Its description in RNAcentral is "partial 23S ribosomal RNA". It matches the Rfam family "Bacterial large subunit ribosomal RNA", at positions 1292 to 1875 of the family's 2925-position model. Lineage: Bacteria; Pseudomonadati; Pseudomonadota; Gammaproteobacteria; Enterobacterales; Enterobacteriaceae. The record is from RNAcentral.